UACAGAGGUCUCAAGCGUUGUUCGGAUUCAUUGGGCGUAAAGGGUGCGUAGGCGGCGCGGUAAGUCGGGUGUGAAAUCUUGGAGCUUAACUCCGAAACUGCAUUCGAUACUGCCGUGCUUGAGGACUGGAGAGGAGACUGGAAUUUACGGUGUAGCGGUGAAAUGCGUAGAUAUCGUGAGGAAGACCAGUGGCGAAGGCGGAUCUCUGGACAGUUCCUGACGCUGAUGCGCGAAGGCCAGGGGAGCAAACGGG
RNAcentral lists this ribosomal RNA (253 nucleotides) under uncultured bacterium. RNAcentral describes it as "partial 16S ribosomal RNA". It matches the Rfam family "Bacterial small subunit ribosomal RNA", at positions 524 to 776 of the family's 1533-position model. The record is from RNAcentral.